UUUCAAUGUUUGUGGUGUGUUUGUGUUUUUGGUUUGUUGUUAUGUCUCCUGUUUUUGUUAUCUCAGUUCCUUUGUUUUUCCAUAUGUUUAUAUUUUUCUUAAUAAGGCCCAUUUUUAGGUUAUUCCUGCAUUUUGGUCUAAUUCCUCCCUAUGAAAACACCCACUUUCUCUGACACAAGGACUCAGCCAGACUAUGCCUGGCACCUACUAUUUUUGGAGAAUCUUUUCUGGAUUACUCUUUCUAGCCUUUUGGGAUUUUUUUUUCUUUCCCCUAGAUAUCUAGUGUUCUUCGGUAGACUUUGCUCUGCACCUGUUCCUGUGGGUGACACUGCUUCACUUCUUGCCUGCAGUGGAAGUUCGGUUUCUGCGGUUGUUCGGUUUCUGAUGUAUUAUUUCCUCUGUGCCCUGUGACAUCGCUCCACUCCUGUUCCUGUGGGGGAUGCCACUUCACUUCCUGCUUUCCCAUGGAGGAUUUUGCAGGACUUUUUUCUGUUUGUAUUGGACUUUUUCAUGCUCCUGUGUGGGACGUGCCAGGAAUAGCUUGGACUUUGAUGAUUUGUCCGCUUCUGGCCUCCGAUCAGGGUUGUGCCUUAUUGCUGGUGUUGCUUGACCUUAGUGCAGCUUUUGGCAUACCAUUUAUACUGUUCUUCUUGAUAGGCUAGAAAAUGUUGCCAUUUUUAAAAGAACAGCACUCUCCUGGCUGAGGACUUUUUGACUAUCACCUUGUUAAUGUACUUGUGUGCGUUCCCCGAACCCCCUCUCACAUGCUACUCCUGAGCUCCCAGUGUUCCUAACUGCUUCUUGUCUCCGGACCUGCUUGAUCCAUUUUGAUGCCCUUCUUCUGGUUGGAGUCUCAUCACCUGGAGGUUCCCCCACUGCUGAGGAGGCUUACUAUAUGGGAUCAUUCUCAUCAGCAGAAAGUGGCCUCCAAGUGAUGAGAGUGCAUCCAGAAGUAGGGGUUCAUGAUGUAGUCCAGUGUGCAGAAACAGUCAAGAACAACUAUGACAGGACUCCAGCAUAACUAAAAGUCUACAAAAAGGAGUGCCAGGAGGAAGGAGAGGCACAACUUCCAACUUGUGAUCUAAGUGGGCAUGGUAGAUCAUAAAAAAAUUAUAUUCAAUGCAAAAUCUGACUGAAAUUUGAACUAAUAUAGUGUGGAUAAAUUUGAAGUGAUGUGUUCAUGUGCCUUUAAAGAGUAUGCCAUGUAACCCUGACACUUUGUUGGCAAAUGCUCAUGUCCCAAUUUAAAAUAUUUGUUUAGUUCUUUUGGAUUUACAUUUAGAUUUAUGGCAUUUGGCAGAUGCCCUUAUCCAGAGUCACGUACAAAAGUGCUUUGAAGUCUCUAUCAGUGUAUACAUCAAUACUGGUUUGCUAGGUCACAGAAUAAGGAUAUCAUGAGUCCAACACUCUGUUGGAAAGAAAAUAGUAAAUCUUUUAUACAAACAGGAAAAAAAGUGCUACUUUUAGUUUUUUAGGAAGAGGUAGGUCCCCCUGUUUGAAGACACUCAGUGACUCAGCUAUUUGGCCAUCUAGGGGAAGUUCAUUUCACCAUGAGUCACAAUGGAUCUUGAGAAUACAAGAGUCUUAAUG
This is a long non-coding RNA of Tachysurus fulvidraco (yellow catfish), 1590 nucleotides long. RefSeq lists it as uncharacterized. The transcript is spliced from 3 exons. The record is from RefSeq and is a predicted model, not a curated record. NCBI's taxonomy places the organism in Eukaryota, Metazoa, Chordata, Actinopteri, Siluriformes, Bagridae.